This 253-nucleotide ribosomal RNA is filed under the name uncultured bacterium. Its description in RNAcentral is "partial 16S ribosomal RNA". It matches the Rfam family "Bacterial small subunit ribosomal RNA", at positions 524 to 776 of the family's 1533-position model. The record is from RNAcentral.
UACGUAGGGUGCAAGCGUUAUCCGGAAUUAUUGGGCGUAAAGAGCUCGUAGGCGGUUUGUCGCGUCUGCCGUGAAAGUCCGGGGCUUAACUCCGGAUCUGCGGUGGGUACGGGCAGACUAGAGUGCAGUAGGGGAGACUGGAAUUCCUGGUGUAGCGGUGAAAUGCGCAGAUAUCAGGAGGAACACCGAUGGCGAAGGCAGGUCUCUGGGCUGUAACUGACGCUGAGGAGCGAAAGCAUGGGGAGCGAACAGG